AUUUCAAGUUGUACUAAAGAUUAUAUUUCUUUUUGAGAAAAAUGUAGCACGCUACCUAUUUCAUUCAUUAAGUAUUUAAAUUAAGCUACAAGUAGUGGGGCAGCAAAGGCCUCCAGGUGACACAAAGUCGACGAAAAGCAGAAGAAGGAAAAAAGAAAAAUACAAUAAAGACAAAAAAGACGGUCCGUCGUCAUAGUGGAGGAAGCAACAAACACCAACAUCACCCAACUUUACGACAAGUAGCCCAAUCUUUCAGAAGUGCUUCAAUACGGUGGCCAGUAGAGAUAAUAUUUGGAGGUAAGUUUCGAAAAAUAACAUUAUUUUUUUCGUGCCAGACCGUCCAUCACGUAGCCGCCACAAAUAAUUGAGCCUUUGCAGUACUACAGAUUAUAUUUGGUUUACUGCAAUUGUAUCCAAAUAUUAUAUUAUUGAAACUGCAGAUGAAGCUUCAUUUUGAUUGUAGUAUUGAUAUUUAUAGUAUUGAUAGAGGGAUUAAUAACUGACAAAAGCAAAUACGAAUUACCUAAACUAUGAAUCAUUUUGAUUCAACUGUUUGACCGUUCAACAUUUUGAUUUUACUAUUUAAUCUUUUAAUUUAUUUGAUUUGAGUGAGUCAACCGUACUUUGGCUUUACAAUUUAAAUGCAUCGUUUAUCUUUAAAGAUUUAAUUAGUAUAUAUUUUAUGCAAUUCUCAUAAUUAUAAAUUUAUUAAAAUAUAAAUAAUUAGUUUAAAUUUUAAAGUUAAAAUAUCGUUGACUAACUCCUAUUCAAAUAAAUUAAAAUAUUGUAUAGUAAAAUUAAACUUUUGAAAUAUUAGAUGGUUAAAUUAAAAUGGUCUAUAGUUUAUAUAGAUUAUGUA
RNAcentral lists this long non-coding RNA (859 nucleotides) under Ananas comosus (pineapple). Its description in RNAcentral is "long non-coding RNA (ACOM_LNC000232)". Lineage: Eukaryota; Viridiplantae; Streptophyta; Magnoliopsida; Poales; Bromeliaceae. The record is from RNAcentral.